AGACGUCUACAUUAGAUACCCCCUGUAGUCCAGGGUGUAAACGCUGCAGACUUGGUGUUGGAGGCCCUUUGGGGGCAUUCAGUGCCGGAGAGAAGUUGUUAAGUCUGCUACUUGGGGAGUACGUCCGCAAGGAUGAAACUUAAAGGAAUUGGCGGGGGAGCACCGCAACGGGAGGAGCGUGCGGUUUAAUUGGAUUCAACACCGUAAACUCACCAGGGAAGACUGUUACAUGAAGGCCGAGAUGAAGACUCUGCUAGAUUUUCAG
This 265-nucleotide ribosomal RNA is filed under the name uncultured archaeon. Its description in RNAcentral is "partial 16S ribosomal RNA". It matches the Rfam family "Archaeal small subunit ribosomal RNA", at positions 717 to 982 of the family's 1478-position model. The record is from RNAcentral.